This 169-nucleotide ribosomal RNA is filed under the name Polyodon spathula (Mississippi paddlefish). RNAcentral's name for it is "partial ribosomal RNA". The record is from RNAcentral. Lineage: Eukaryota; Metazoa; Chordata; Actinopteri; Acipenseriformes; Polyodontidae.
UGAACAACGAACCCUUAAUAGCGGCUGCACCAUUAGGAUGUGCCUGAUCCAACAUCGAGGUCCGUAAACCCUUUCGUCGAUAUGGACUCUUAGAAAGGAUUGCGCUGUUAUCCCUAGGGUAACUUGGUUCGGUGAUCAGGCUUGGGGCUGGAAAAUUGUUCGUCAGAUG